RNAcentral lists this ribosomal RNA (253 nucleotides) under uncultured bacterium. Its description in RNAcentral is "partial 16S ribosomal RNA". It matches the Rfam family "Bacterial small subunit ribosomal RNA", at positions 524 to 776 of the family's 1533-position model. The record is from RNAcentral.
UACGUAGGGGGCGAGCGUUAUCCGGAUUUACUGGGUGUAAAGGGAGCGUAGACGGCUGGUCAAGUCUGAAGUGAAAGCCCGGGGCUUAACCCCGGAACGGUUUUGGAAACUGAGCAGCUAGAGUGCUGGAGAGGUAAGCGGAAUUCCUAGUGUAGCGGUGAAAUGCGUAGAUAUUAGGAGGAACGCCAGUGGCGGAGGCGGCUUACUGGACAGUAACUGACGUUGAGGCUCGAAAGCGUGGGGAGCAAACAGG